UAUAUAUAAUAUGUAUAGCGUUGAAGUACCAGAUAACGGGAUUGUAUAACCCUUGUAUGCAAACCGGCAAAGUAGUGCCAAUCGGCAACUCUGUUCUAUGCAAUAAAAGAUAAAUAUCGGCCCAUAAGUAUCCCUGAAAUACACAGAAGUCCUAAUGAAUUAGUACAUUCAAUUUAAUUGUAAUCAAUUGAUCAUUUAGGGCUCUUGAUUUUUGUUGAAUCGGCCAUUCGGUAUGUUCCAUUGGGUGUGUGCCGAUUCUUGGCCAAUCCUGCAGAAUGGUUGCAUGCCACUGUGACACCAGAGGUACAUAAUCCUAAAUGCAUCUAAACGUGUGGUAUACGUCUGUGCAUGCACCUGUCGUAGCCAUUUUUGCAUCGGCCAGCGUCGAAUGUUUCCCAUGUCCUCGCGACAUUGCUGCGUAGAUGUCGGAGGCUAGUGUGAAUUUCGGCACAGGCUGUGAACUGGUUUAACAGGGAUAGGCGGGCUAGUUGGUGGUCGAUAUUGGAAUGCAUCAUGUAACCGCACAAAAACAAGGGACAAAGAAGGAACACACAAGACAGGCGCGGAAGUAUGAGAAAUCCAUGAGACUGAAGUUGUGGCCUUUGUGGUGGAAUAACAUAAACCUUGUGUGGAAUUAGACGCUCCACAGUAGGAAAAUAAAACACAUUUCCACUCAUCGUCGCUGUGUGCGUGGCAAUUGACGGCGCGCUUCAUUUCGUCUUCACCUCAGCUUCGCGUCGCAUAAAUUCCAAGAUAUGCUUAGGAUCUGCACGACCUUGUUUCCAUGUGACAGGCAUUACACAUAUUUAAGCGCAAAUGCGGGCCAACUGAGACACUGCCGGUUGUAGAACAGCGCGACCACACCGAAAACAAAAUUCUACUCCGAACAAUACCGGCCAUUGACAUUUUGUACUUUAGUACUUUUCAUAAGCCGUGGUUGUUCUUAAGUUUAUAUAUAGGCUGCGUCUUUUAUAUCAAAAUCACCAGCUGAUAAGUAGUGCAAGCAUUCAGUCUGUUCUUCGCUUUGCUACUCCAGACGCCACGCUAUCCUACUGAAUGUUUGACUCGUUGUACUUGGUAUGUACUUGUACUUACCUUUUCGUAAACAUAAAACAUGAUGAAAAAACAUGCUACUAGUGCUCGUUGUUACUGGUGUGCAAGAUAAUACUGACAAUGCAUAAUUGGACUAAUACAAGUGAAUCAUACAAGCAUGGCGCAAUUUUCUAAAGAAGUUCAAAGUUUCUUACAAUCAUUCCUGCCGCGAACCUCACCUGACUGGAACCAUCUUCCCACUUAACUUGUAGGCCUUCCUAAUUAGGAACAGUUCCGUGAAGCCUUAGCUAAUUUUAAUACAGGGGCCAUUUAAACACUCAUACAACCAACUGUACUUGUCUUCUUCAUUCUUUGGGUAUUUACCACUCGCCCUCUGUAAUGUCCUUGGCCAUGAGGGGUAUAAUAAAUGAGAUGAAAUGAAAUUCGUCACAAAGUCGGCAGACAUUACGUUGGGAAAAUUGCACGCCAUGUUAAGCAAAUGUUGAAAGAGCGUAAGUCAAUUGUCAGGAGAAUAUGCAAGUAGUGUUCAACUGGCAGACAUACGGUUGUCACAUAAAAUCGAAGGAAAUCAAAACCUUGGAUAUUUAGAGGAGUCAAUUACGGCGAGAGAGAUAAUGGAGGUAAAAACUUAUGUUGGGUUCUUGUGUGUUAGCAUCACAUGACAUUGGUUUUUGUCUCACUUGAGGAAUUGUGGUAUCAUGGAGUGGAUGGCCUGAGCCAUUUUGCACAACCUAAAAUUUUGUGCUUCAUUUUUUCUUUUUAGUUUUUAGCUGUGAUGAGACAGUAUUGACUUUCGCCUUUCCCAGAAUGAUUCGUUUGUUUGGAGUUGGUAUAUCUGCGUGGGCUUCGCUUGCAUGCGCCUGUUUUCUUGUUUUGCUGUCCAUCAUUUAUGGCCCAUCAGCCCAUUAAUACCUUGCUAGAAAACAUCAAAGCCCGUAACUUCGCAUUUCUGCUAGCGUUGCUCUAUAUGGGACUAUGUAGGUGAAGUGGAAAAUAAAUAUGUAGGCCACUUGGAAAGAACUGGAAAGAUACCGCAAAGUAACCAACCCUAAGUCCUCUACAGCUAGUCUUAAAAUAAUGGCGAAAUUCUUUUUCUCCCACAGGUGGCUACAUAAUUGAAUCCAUAGUUUUGCUCAGCGUUAAUGACGAAAUUCCAAUCCCCUCAAGUGCACAUACGGGUUCUGUAAGUGCCACCAUGGACGACUUUCUGGUUACGCAAGAAGUAAUAGAACAAGCAACUGACCGUUUGCAAAAUAAUUCAAGUCCUGGCUCUGGUGGUAUCUGCCCCAAACUGCUCAAGCUCACUAUAGCAACAUUAGCCCGAAUUUUUAGUGCAUUAUUUCAGAGGUCUAUUUACACAGGUUCCACGUCUGAUGCAGGGAAAAUUGCUUGUGUCGUAGUUGUAUUUACAUCUGGAGACCAUUUUUCCUUCAUAAAUCACUGGCCUAUUCUAUAACUAGCAUACCCUGAAAAUACUUGAACACCUAAUUUCUAAUGCAAUAUUGAAGUGCUUGCAUCGGCAGAACUUUCUUCUUUUUAUCAAUCUUGCAUGGGUUCUUGCGUGGACAUUUCUGGUGGUCAGUUAUUUGACCUGACGGCCAAGAUUUAUGACACUGUACGCAGUUUAAUUAGAAUAGACGUAUUCAUCGACGUUGAAAAAGCGUUUGACAAGGUGACUCAUGAUCUUAUAAUGAAAAUGGACAACCUUCGCGUAAGCAGGAACGGGAUGAACUGGAUUGUUAAUAUUCUAGGUAACCGACAGCAGUUGGUUUCUGCAAAUGAAUCUUGCUCCGCACUGAAAUCUGCAAAAUACAGUGUGCUUCAGGGGACGGUGCUUAGGCCUGCCCCGUUCGGUAUUUACAUUGACAUAAGCAAUAAACUUACUUCCACUGCCAGGUUAUUUGCUGAAAACAGUGUUAUUUACCGAAAGAUUAAUCUUGAUGAUACUAAUUCCCAGCAGUCAGAUUUUGAUGAACUCGUUAAGUGGUGCGAAAAAUGGCAGAUGGCCAUAAACACCUCUAAAACAAAAGCCAUGACAAUUAUCAAGACCACUGUCCCCCAAACUUGCUUUUACUCUAUUAGUAAGGUCGCCAUUGAAAAUGUGUCCGCAGUAAAAUUUCUAGGCAUUCACAUUUUUUUAAACUUGACGUGGCACCAGCACAUUGAUUACAUAGGUAGCAAAGCGUCCAGAACCAUCGGUUAUUUUUUUCAGGUGCCACUUGUACUCCGGAAACCAAGCAACUAAAUUUUAUGACACGUUACUUUCGUUAGACAGCAACUGGAAUAUCCCGCUAUCAUUUGGAAUCGGCAUCAAGAAUACCUUGCCAACACGCUAUAAUCGUUAUAGAAUGAGGCUGCUGGAUUUACCACGAAAAAAUAUUCUCGUUACUACAGCCUAGCGAAGUUAAAUAAUAUCUAAACUUAUGCAUCCUCCAAAAAAGCCUUGUUACACUACUACGUCACUUUUGCCGACUAUAUUAUAAUCCCUCGGCAUUCACAGAAGCCCGUAUCAAACCGACCAUUCGCGUCUUUCCCCGAUUAGAUCACCCUUUUAAGGUACAGCCAAAGGUCGUCCGUACUAAGCUUAUGCAGCAGUCACCGCUAUUCCUUGCCAUAUACCAUUGACACAAACUGCCAGCUGAAAUUGCUUCCGAGGACAAUCACGAUGCUUUUGUUAAUGAACUGGAGUACUGGAUGCAUACUGGCACGUAAUAGUGUUUUGAGGACCUUUAGUUUUACUUUAUAUUUCAAUCUUUUAUUUGUAUAUCUCAAUUUCGUAUAUGUAAUCUGGUGUCUUGUAUUAGUAGCGCUGCUAUGUAUAUUGUUAAUUCAUGACGUUUUUUCAAACCCCUGUGUAAUGCCUAUAAAUGAGCCUUUAAGUUACAUGAAUAAUAAAAAAAUGGAAUAACUGUUAUUGAUGCGCGGACGGCCUGUGGGUCGCGAACAACUAGGGCGAUCUCUUUCGUAGGCGAUCACACCAGCUCUGUGACAGUAUGUGUGUGUACGGCCGAAAGCGUUUCUCGCUUUGCGCUAAGAUCGCCAUCUGAUGAUGUGCGGAAUAGUUAAAGGUUUCGUGUCCUCUUCCCUUUCACCGUGGUGCUCACAUGCGCAUGCGAUGUCUUUUAUUUUUCAUUCCUGCCGGGAACGAACGGCACGAGAUCGACAUGUUCGUGCCGUGCACGCAUCUGUCGGGGCAAAGACGAUGCUGGCCUUUCGUGCGUCAUCACCGGAUCAAGCAUGGGAGGCAGCACGGUGGCCUACUAUUCCAGCCAAGCCAGCAAGGCCACCGCCAUCGCUCUUGGUUCAAACAACGCGGAGGCGGACAGACGGACCAACUUCGGCUUCCUAGCAGACGAGAUCGGCCAGAUCGUGUUGGGAACCCAUCUGUAAAGCAAAGGCGGUGCUGGGCUUUUGAGGAUCAGGGUCUGCGUGGGAAGAAGUACAGUGCCUGACUAUACUAGUCGUACCAGCAAGCUUCUCGGUGUCUUGGUCCUAACCUGCGGUACUGGUGGCCAGCAGUUCUUACGCACUUGUAUCUUGCUGCCGGCCCUGGGGACCUGGUGACCAGUUCAAGCGGCUUGAUGUCUUGCCA
Dermacentor andersoni is the source of this 4645-nucleotide long non-coding RNA. RefSeq lists it as uncharacterized. Lineage: Eukaryota; Metazoa; Arthropoda; Arachnida; Ixodida; Ixodidae. The record is from RefSeq and is a predicted model, not a curated record.